ACCAGAAGGGUAGUUAGGCAUUGGAACAGGCUUCCAGGGAAGUGGUGGAAUUGCCAUCCUCGGAAGUGUUCAGGAAACAUGUAGAUGAGUCUCUUCCUUACAUGGUUUAGUGGUGAACUUGGCAGACUGGGGUAAAGACUGGACUUGAUGAUCUUAAAGGUCUUUUCCAACCUGGUUGAUUCUGUGAUUGUUUUAAAUGGCUCUGCUUUCACCUUGCCUCCUCAUUUUAUGGCAUUUUUGCCUUCCUCCAACAAGCAGAGGCAAGGUGGAGGCCAGCAUCUCUUCAGGUGCCACUUCUGUAAGGCCUCUCACAAUGGGGGUGGCACAGCCUCUCCCUGGAGAAAGGCCUUGAGGUUUCAGUGUUGCCAAUGCUUCAAAAGAUGAGAUAGUUUGAAAAACUGCAGGGAGGAAGAGAGAUCCCAGAGAAAGCUCAGAGGAAUUUUGGGAAGGAGGAAGUACUGUGGAAGGGAAUAGACAGGAGUAAGCUGAGUUCAGGCUACCCUGGAGCCUCUGUGCAACUGGACUGAAGGAUUAACAUAGUCCUACAAGUUGCCAUGCUGUUGCUUCUGUAACUGAUGCCUUCUUGCAUGAGAGAAGUGGAGGUGGAUAUGGGCAUCCAUUUAGGAAGAUCAUUCUGCUGCCUUCUCUCAGAGUUGAAGCUUCAGCAUUCAGGUCUAGUAAAAAAUUCUACUC
Molecule: long non-coding RNA, 693 nt
Organism: Pezoporus flaviventris
Lineage: Eukaryota; Metazoa; Chordata; Aves; Psittaciformes; Psittacidae
Exons: 3
Source: RefSeq, a predicted model, not a curated record